CGGGGUCCCACAACGUCACCUCAUAGAUGCAGUCGAUGGUUUGUUCCAGAUUCAGGCUUCUUUCCGGGAAGAAACCCUGACAGAAAUUCAGAAGCAUGGGAUGCAUUCCGUUAGGACGUGAAUACAUGAAAUGCUCGUCUCAGGACCUUCUAGAAGAAUGAGCUGGUACCCACUUUUCGAGUCCCGCUGGAACCAGAGACCGAGAUAUUGCCCAGGUGUCUGAAUGACUGCACUGGGGUACCUACCUCCUUUUUUGAUAGACUGUAUUCCCUUUCCAUGUUUUAGCUGUAUCUGUGACACAGGACACGAGAGAACGUGCUCAUGUGAACACAAGUGAAGGACACCGUGGGAACUUCCCACACAGGUAAUUUUGGAUUUUUUCUCUUCACAACUUAAGUUCCAGUGCAUGUUUUCUAUCACAAAUAUGCCACAUCUUAUAUUUCAGAUAUUUGUGCCCAGGGCACAC
RNAcentral lists this long non-coding RNA (466 nucleotides) under Felis catus (domestic cat). RNAcentral describes it as "lncRNA (ENSFCAG00000047032.1)". The record is from RNAcentral. Lineage: Eukaryota; Metazoa; Chordata; Mammalia; Carnivora; Felidae.